ACGCACAUUGCGCCCUCUGGUAUUCCGGAGGGCAUGCCUGUUUGAGCGUCGUU
This 53-nucleotide ribosomal RNA is filed under the name uncultured soil eukaryote. RNAcentral describes it as "partial 5.8S ribosomal RNA". It matches the Rfam family "5.8S ribosomal RNA", at positions 104 to 154 of the family's 154-position model. Rfam says of the family: 5.8S ribosomal RNA (5.8S rRNA) is a component of the large subunit of the eukaryotic ribosome. It is transcribed by RNA polymerase I as part of the 45S precursor that also contains 18S and 28S rRNA. Functionally, it is thought that 5.8S rRNA may be involved in ribosome translocation. The record is from RNAcentral.